RNAcentral lists this ribosomal RNA (491 nucleotides) under uncultured bacterium. RNAcentral's name for it is "partial 16S ribosomal RNA". It matches the Rfam family "Bacterial small subunit ribosomal RNA", at positions 29 to 506 of the family's 1533-position model. The record is from RNAcentral.
AGUGAACGCUGGCGGUAGGCCUAACACAUGCAAGUCGAACGGCAGCACAGUAAGAGCUUGCUCUUACGGGUGGCGAGUGGCGGACGGGUGAGGAAUACAUCGGAAUCUACUUUUUCGUGGGGGAUAACGUAGGGAAACUUACGCUAAUACCGCAUACGACCUACGGGUGAAAGCAGGGGAUCUUCGGACCUUGCGCGACUGAAUGAGCCGAUGUCGGAUUAGCUAGUUGGCGGGGUAAAGGCCCACCAAGGCGACGAUCCGUAGCUGGUCUGAGAGGAUGAUCGGCCACCCGGGAACUGGGAAACGGUCCGAACUCCUACGGGAGGCAGCAGUGGGGAAUAUUGGACAAUGGGCGCAAGCCUGAUCCAGCCAUCCCGGGGGGGUGAAGAAGGCCUUCGGGUUGUAAAGCCCUUUUGUUGGGAAAAAAAAGCAGCAGGUUAAUACCCCGCUGUUCUGACGGUACCCAAAAAAUAAGCACCGGCUAACUUCGU